AGUGAACGCUGGCGGUAGGCCUAACACAUGCAAGUCGAACGGCAGCACAGUAAGAGCUUGCUCUUACGGGUGGCGAGUGACGGACGGGUGAGGAAUGCAUCGGAAUCUACUUUUUCGUGGGGGAUAACGUAGGGAAACUUACGCUAAUACCGCAUACGACCUACGGGUGAAAGCAGGGGAUCUUCGGACCUUGCGCGAUUGAAUGAGCCGAUGUCGGAUUAGCUAGUUGGCGGGGUAAAGGCCCACCAAGGCGACGAUCCGUAGCUGGUCUGAGAGGAUGAUCAGCCACACUGGAACUGAGACACGGUCCAGACUCCUACGGGAGGCAGCAGUGGGGAAUAUUGGACAAUGGGCGCAAGCCUGAUCCAGCCAUGCCGCGUGAGUGAAGAAGGCCUUCGGGUUGUAAAGCCCUUUUGUUGGGAAAGAAAAGCAGCAGGUUAAUACCCCGCUGUUCUGACGGUACCUAAAGAAUAAGCACCGGCUAACUUCGUG
This 492-nucleotide ribosomal RNA is filed under the name uncultured bacterium. RNAcentral describes it as "partial 16S ribosomal RNA". It matches the Rfam family "Bacterial small subunit ribosomal RNA", at positions 29 to 507 of the family's 1533-position model. The record is from RNAcentral.